CAGAAAAGGGAGUUCCCUUGCAGCCCAAAAUACCCUGCAUGCACUGCAUGAAUUUCAUGCAGUGUUUUGGACUGAAGGGAGCUCCUUGUUCUU
This 93-nucleotide microRNA precursor is filed under the name Cajanus cajan (pigeon pea). RNAcentral's name for it is "MIR319 microRNA precursor family". It matches the Rfam family "MIR319 microRNA precursor family". The record is from Rfam by way of RNAcentral. Lineage: Eukaryota; Viridiplantae; Streptophyta; Magnoliopsida; Fabales; Fabaceae.